AUUGAACGCUGGCGGCAGGCCUAACACAUGCAAGUCGAACGGUAACAGGAAACAGCUUGCUGUUUCGCUGACGAGUGGCGGACGGGUGAGUAAUGUCUGGGAAACUGCCUGAUGGAGGGGGAUAACUACUGGAAACGGUAGCUAAUACCGCAUAACGUCGCAAGACCAAAGAGGGGGACCUUCGGGCCUCUUGCCAUCGGAUGUGCCCAGAUGGGAUUAGCUAGUAGGUGGGGUAACGGCUCACCUAGGCGACGAUCCCUAGCUGGUCUGAGAGGAUGACCAGCCACACUGGAACUGAGACACGGUCCAGACUCCUACGGGAGGCAGCAGUGGGGAAUAUUGCACAAUGGGCGCAAGCCUGAUGCAGCCAUGCCGCGUGUAUGAAGAAGGCCUUCGGGUUGUAAAGUACUUUCAGCGGGGAUGAAGGGAGUAAAGUUAAUACCUUUGCUCAUUGACGCUACCCGCAGAAGAAGCACCGGCUAACUCCGUG
RNAcentral lists this ribosomal RNA (490 nucleotides) under uncultured bacterium. RNAcentral describes it as "partial 16S ribosomal RNA". It matches the Rfam family "Bacterial small subunit ribosomal RNA", at positions 30 to 507 of the family's 1533-position model. The record is from RNAcentral.